UACGAAGGGGGCUAGCGUUGUUCGGAAUUACUGGGCGUAAAGGGCGCGCAGGCGGUCUUCCAAGUCAGAUGUGAAAGCCCCGGGCUCAACCUGGGAACAGCAUUUGAGACUGGGAGACUUGAGUUCGGGAGAGGAGAGCGGAAUUCCCAGUGUAGAGGUGAAAUUCGUAGAUAUUGGGAAGAACACCGGUGGCGAAGGCGGCUCUCUGGACCGAUACUGACGCUGAGGCGCGAAAGCGUGGGGAGCAAACAGG
RNAcentral lists this ribosomal RNA (253 nucleotides) under uncultured bacterium. RNAcentral's name for it is "partial 16S ribosomal RNA". It matches the Rfam family "Bacterial small subunit ribosomal RNA", at positions 524 to 776 of the family's 1533-position model. The record is from RNAcentral.